Molecule: non-coding RNA, 205 nt
Organism: Pelobates cultripes (western spadefoot toad)
Lineage: Eukaryota; Metazoa; Chordata; Amphibia; Anura; Pelobatidae
Source: the annotation of a GenBank genome assembly
CCCACCUUCUAAAUACACACACACACAGUCAGACACAAAAACACACACACACAGUCAGACACAUACACACACACACACAGUCAGACACAUACACACACACACAGUCAGACACAUACACACACACACACAGUCAGACACAUACACACACACACACACAGUCAGACACAUACACACACACACACAGUCAGACACAUACACAGACACA